This 488-nucleotide ribosomal RNA is filed under the name uncultured bacterium. RNAcentral describes it as "partial 16S ribosomal RNA". It matches the Rfam family "Bacterial small subunit ribosomal RNA", at positions 30 to 507 of the family's 1533-position model. The record is from RNAcentral.
UGAACGCUAGCUACAGGCUUAACACAUGCAAGUCGAGGGGCAGCAUGGUCUUAGCUUGCUAAGGCCGAUGGCGACCGGCGCACGGGUGAGUAACACGUAUCCAACCUGCCGUCUACUCUUGGACAGCCUUCUGAAAGGAAGAUUAAUACAAGAUGGCAUCAUGAGUCCGCAUGUUCACAUGAUUAAAGGUAUUCCGGUAGACGAUGGGGAUGCGUUCCAUUAGAUAGUAGGCGGGGUAACGGCCCACCUAGUCUUCGAUGGAUAGGGGUUCUGAGAGGAAGGUCCCCCACAUUGGAACUGAGACACGGUCCAAACUCCUACGGGAGGCAGCAGUGAGGAAUAUUGGUCAAUGGGCGCAGGCCUGAACCAGCCAAGUAGCGUGAAGGAUGACUGCCCUAUGGGUUGUAAACUUCUUUUAUAAAGGAAUAAAGUCGGGUAUGUAUACCCGUAUGCAUGUACUUUAUGAAUAAGGAUCGGCUAACUCCGUG